RNAcentral lists this ribosomal RNA (4671 nucleotides) under Triticum aestivum (bread wheat). RNAcentral's name for it is "partial small subunit ribosomal RNA". Lineage: Eukaryota; Viridiplantae; Streptophyta; Magnoliopsida; Poales; Poaceae. The record is from RNAcentral.
GGGUGAGAGAGACCAUCCAUCGGUCUGUCUGUGUAGUAAGUAGUAUGUUGACUAGUCCAAGCAAGCCAAGGAAGAGAAGAGAUCAGAUCAGAUCUCAUCUCAGUCUCCUCUGCUCAGGUCGCCGGCGAUGGCGAUGGCGCCGUCCCUCCGCACCACCGUCCUGCUCCUCCUCUUCCUCCUCGCCGCCUCUUCUCAGGCGGAGGCGGCACAAGCGGCGGAGGACGGCAUCCGGGUCCUCUCCGCCGAGAAAAGGAUCGACCUCACCGGCCCCAUCGUCAAGGUCUUCCUCACCCUCAAGGUCCAGAACGCCGCCACCGGCGCCGACGCCUCACACGUCCUCAUCGCCUUCACGCCUGCCGAGGCCGACCACCUCGCCAUCGUCAAGGCCACCCGGGCCGAGGGCAAGCGCAAGAAGAAGGCCUACAUCCCGCUCCCAGUAACACCCGCCGACGCCGCCACCGCCGCUCCCAACGGCGCCCGCCUCUACUCCAUCUCCCUUCCCAGCCCACUAAAACCCGCCGAGACCACCACGGUGGAGGUCUUCUACGUGCUCACCCACUCCCUCGAGCCCUUCCCUGCCGAGAUCACCCAGUCCGAGUCCCAGCUCGUGUACUACCGCGACAGCGCCGUCAUCCUCUCGCCGUACCAUGUCCAGGAGCAGGGCACCUACGUCAAGACGCCCAGCAGCAGGGUCGAGUCCUUCACCAGGGCCGACCCCACCAGCCGCUCGGGCCCUGAUGUCAAAUACGGCGCGUACAGCAACCAGCUCCCAUACGCCUACUCGCCCAUCAUUCUGCAUUAUGAGAACAACCAUGCGUUUGCUGUCGUCGAGGAGCUCGUGCGCAAGGUGGAGAUCUCCCACUGGGGGAACGUCCAGGUCACCGAGCACUACAAGUUGAAGCAUGGCGGUGCCAAGCACAAAGGAGUCUUUUCAAGGCUCGAGUAUCAGGCUAGGCAAUCUAUCAGCGGAGCGUCAUCAUUUAAGAAUCUUCUUGCAAGGUUGCCUCCACGAGUUCAUUCAGUCUACUAUCGUGAUGAGAUUGGUAACAUCUCCUCAUCCCAUCUGCGCAGUGAUUCAUACAAGUCAGAACUAGAAAUUGAACCAAGAUAUCCGCUUUUUGGUGGGUGGCACUGCACUUUCACCAUCGGCUAUGGUAUGCCACUGCAAGAUUUCCUGUUUGAAUCGGCUGAUGGCCGACGCUUUGCCAAUCUUACAUUUGGAUGCCCUCUACUGAAUACUGUGGUUGAUAAUCUUACCAUCAAGGUUGUGCUUCCCGAGGGAUCGAAAAGCCCGCAGGCUGUUGUUCCUUUCGAGACCGAGCAACAUCUUGAGACUAGCUAUUCAUACCUGGAUGUUGUGGGGAGGACGACAGUGGUGAUAAAGAAGAAAAACGUAGUAGGAGAGCACAAUGUUCCAUUCCAGGUGUACUACGAGUUCAGCCCGAUCUUCAUGCUGGCGGAGCCGCUGAUGCUGGUAACCGCAGUGCUGCUCUUGUUCGCGGCGUGCAUUGUGUAUCUUCACACGGAUCUUUCCAUCGCGAAAUCGCAGGCCUCCUGAAGGAGGAGUAGCUGCAAACUAGUCGUUGUGAUGAAGUAAUUGAUGGUGGUGAAACAUUAGCUUUGGGGAGUUUUGUAGAAGAAGCAAGCAUGACGAUAAUUGAUUGCUGUAGGAACUUUGACUCUUUUAUUUUCCUGUGGAAGAAAAAGAAAAAUCACAAUUGGAUUGGAUGUUGAGCAACAACUUGGUUAGUCUGAUCAAGAUACGUUUACCUUGAUUCAACUUUCCGUCAAUUAGUUGAGAUCUUUUCCACCCUUUAGUCGUAACUAUGAGUACAAAAUAUAAAAAAUGUUGAGAGUAGUCGGCCAUCCCAACUUUGUGCUUCUAACAUAUUUUCCCUGAAUUUGCAGAUGCUGAGUUCAUUCGUGAUGCAGGCCCAAAAGAAAUUAAAACAAUUUCAGAAUUUCAGAAAUUAAAAAUAUAGAUGAAAAAUGCUAGAACAACCAACCAAUGCAAAACACUAAACACAAGCGAUGCUCCAAUCUUCGAACGUCCCCAAUCUCUCUCUCGCAAACCAAACCCUAGCCUGGCCUAGCAACAAUGGCGCCGUGAAUCCAAUCCAAUCCAAUCGGAGCCGAAUCGAAUCGUGCCGGACGGACGGAGGGAGGAAGAAGAGAGAGGGGAGAGAUGGUGGGGCGCAACGAGGAGAAGGCGCGGCUGGCGCUGGCCGCCAUGAACAAGCUGGGGUUCGGCCGGAAGCAGGCCACUCCCGUGCUCAAGCGCCUCUUCAGGCUCUUCGACCGGCAGUGGGAGCCCAUCGAGGCCGACUCCUACCGCGCCCUCGCCGAAGCAAUCCUCGACGACCAACUCCAAUCCCAAUCCCAAUCCCAAUCCCAACCACAGCACCAGCCCAACGGCGGCGGCGGCGGCGGCAAUGAGGCGCCGGGGCAGGAGGAGGAGCUGGAUGCCAUGCCAGAAAUCUCCACCCCUUCCACAACCCCCUCUUUCAGAGCCACACCACCGCAAAGCUCCAGCUCCAGGACCCAUUUCAGAGCCCCUGCCUCUGCCUCUGCUCCUCCACCCGGAUCCACAGCCAGAGGCAUAGUGGAAAGGGUUGUCUUGGCCCCAGCCCCAGGCGCACCCUCACCAACCGCACUGCUCACCAAGCACAAGCAGAUGAUGGAUGCAGAGUUUCAGCAGCCUGCCUUCUUCCCCAAACACCCCAACCCCCAACCCCCUCAACCUCAACCUGUCGACAUGGACGCGUCCGGCUGUCCGGAUGUGCAGCCUGGCUUGAUUCUCCGCUCCCGCAACCGCAACCACAACCUCAACCUCAACGCUUCCUCCUCUUCCGAGCUCAAUGCGUUGCUUCCGCCUGACCGUGACCGAAAUCCUCACCACAUUUCAGGUAGUGAUAAAAACAGGGCAAUUCAGCAUCACAACAGAAAUGCAGAGAUGCCUGCUGUAUCUGUGGAGCCAACAAGCAGCAGCACACUGAUCAAUGGAACAGGGUCUCAAGUGCAGGAGAUUGAUGUCGCGUCAUCCCCUGGGGCGAGGUUAAGCUGUCUCUGAAAUGCAGCGCACACCCAUCAAAGCUCAACAUGCCUGAUCUGGAAGCAGUUUACAAGAUGGUUGAGGACAAAUACCACUGCUCGGACAAGCUUCUUCCUCCUGAUUUCUCCAUUCCUGGCCUCAUGGCCGAGAUAUGCCAGAGUGUCGUGCAGCUGGGCACUCAACAUACUGUGGAGCAUAUUACACAAUCACGUACCGUUGGUAACGGCAGCACGUCUAAAUGCGUGGAGGGUGGUUCAGCGAGUUCAACUACUGCCCCGCAACCGCAUUCGGCACUUUCAAGGACUACCCAUGAUGUACAUGACAUAUCCAAGGGACAAGAAAAUGUCAAGAUACCGAUAGCAAAUGAGUCUGGCAGAGGAAAAUGCCCACCAUCGUUUUCCUACGUACCAGGCAACGAGGUAUUUCAAAAUGGUAUUGUGAACAUCUCCCUUGCACAGAUUGGUGCUGAAGACUGUUGUGCUGAUUGCUUUGGCGACUGCUUGUCUGCGCCUGUACCAUGCGCUUGUGCAAGAGUCACCGGGGGUGAAUAUGCAUACACACCGGGCGGUUUGGUAAAGCCAGAUUUCAUUGACAAGUGUGUCUCCAUGAACCGGGUUCCCGAAGCACAUCACAAGGUCUUUUGCAAGACGUGCCCGCUCGAGAGGUCGAGAGAUAAAGCCUCACCAGAGCCUUGCAGGGGCCACCUUGUUCGGAAAUUCAUCAAGGAGUGCUGGAGCAAAUGCAGGUGCAGCACGCGGUGCGGCAACCGUGUGGUCCAACGCGGCAUAAGAUUCAACCUUGAGGUGUUUUCCACGGGAAAUGGGAGGGGUUGGGGGCUGCGCACGCAGAAUGCAUUGCCAAAAGGAGCUUUUGUGUGCGAAUAUGCGGGGGAAAUACUAACAUGCGCAGAAGUACAGGAGCGGGCGGUCGAGAACAUGAAGAAUGCUAGGUAUACACAUGCGGUAGUGUUGGAUGCUGGCUGGUCUUCGGGAGGGUCGCUGAAGGACGAAGAGGCCUUGUGCCUAGAUGGAACCUUUUAUGGGAAUGUUGGCAGAUUCAUCAACCACAGAUGCCGUGACUCAAAUCUGGCCAUGGUUCCUGUUCAAGUGGAGACUCCUGAUCGGCACUAUUACCAUGUUGCAUUCUUCACUAGCAGGAAGGUGGAGGCCCUAGAGGAACUGACAUGGGACUAUGGGAUUGAUUUCGACGAGGAGUUGGGGCCGGUGAAGGUGUUUGAGUGCCUGUGUGGAAGCAAGUACUGCCGAGGAAGUCAUCGGCAUUGGCAUCGUCAGCGCCUGAGGAAUGGGAAUGGGAAGAAGAGAAGCAGGAUUGAAGGGUGUUGAUGCCAUGCCUGUUAACUCAUUCACCAAGUAAUAGUAGUACUAGUACUAGUAGUAGUAGUAGUAGUAGGCAAUUGACCUGGCUGAAGCAAUGUUGUUGGUGGAACAAUGCUGUCUCUCUUUCUGAUGCUGCUGCUGCUGCUCUGUUCAGUGUAGUGAAAUGAAAAUGAAGCAAAGCAUCCAUGAGAAGAUGAAUGAGGUGGUGUAGUGACCUUGAGGCAAGAGAGUUAGUUAUUAUUCAGUCACCUUGAGGCAAAAGAGAUGAAUGAUUGCUUGCAC